This is a long non-coding RNA of Heterocephalus glaber (naked mole-rat), 669 nucleotides long. RefSeq lists it as uncharacterized. NCBI's taxonomy places the organism in Eukaryota, Metazoa, Chordata, Mammalia, Rodentia, Bathyergidae. The record is from RefSeq and is a predicted model, not a curated record.
GCGGGCCGAGAGCGGAACCGGGCCGUGGUCUCGGUCAACAGUUGCCGACAGCGCUGCUCGCCCUCCGCGGACAGAGACUCAAGCAGCAUGCCCGCACGCAGCGGGGCACCAAGGCCUUCGGCCGGAUCCUGUCUUGAUGUGCAAUCUGGACAGAAUCCAGGCCACAAUAAGAGCAUUUUACACAAAUCAAAAUGACUAUUUAGAAAAAAAAAGAAAACCCAAAUUAACAAAUGGUGAAGAUGUGGGGAAAUUGGAACCCUUAUGUGCUGUCGGUGGAAAUGUAAAAUGGUGCAGCCACUGUGGAAGCAAGUCCUUAAAAAAUGAAAAGAGAUUAGGCAGGGGAGAUUGAGGCAGGAAGGUGGAGAGUCCGAGGCCAGCCUGGGCAAUUUAGUGACUUAGAUCCUGUCCAAAAAUUAAAAAAUAAAAAGGGCUGGAGAUGUAGUUCAGUGGUAGAAUGCACCUGGGUUUGACUCCCAGUACUAAAGAAACAAAGAUUACCAUAUGAUUCAGCAAUUCCACUUCUGAAUCUAUACCCAAAAGAUUGAAAGUAGGAACUGAAACAAAGAUAUUUGUAAACCCAUGUUCAGAGCAGCAUUAUUUGAAAAGCCAAAAUGUAGAAGCAACCUGUGUCCACUAACAGAUGAAUGGAUAAAUAAAAUGUGGUGUAGA